CACUCAUGCAGACACGUGUCCACUGAACACCCCCCCCCCAGUUUAACGGUGAAUCAGAUGGAUCCUUGUUGCCAGCUCCUGCUCUGCUAUUCAACCUGCUGAUGGAAUUAUAAUAACCACACAUGAACAGAAAUGUGUGAAUGCCAAAGUGUGCUGUGCCUGCUGUCUGAGCACAAGAGCGUCCUGACUGCCCCUGUGUCUGCUGUCCAACCUGCGUGUGAAUGCAGUUCUCUGAGACUGCAAGUCCAUUGGAAGUAGUUGGGGAGGCACCAAUGAAAGCUGAUUUCAAACCCAGGUGGCCGGCUCUCUUCCAUGUGCAUGAGGUGUGUGUGGAAUUCAAGAGAAUCACAACGAUCCAUUUAGAGUCAAAGUUCUUCUCUGAGCUGGAUGCUCACUCAGACCCAAUCCAGGUGUUUGCCAAGAAAGGCGGAGUUCAGGGAGACGGAUCAGAAGCAUCAUGGGACCCAUGACUGAGCCGGUGGAUGAGCAGGGCCUGUCUGGCCUCCCUCUCUCUCCGAGAGGGCGAGCGAGGGGGACACUGACCGGCACAGCUGGAGAGAGAGAGAGAGAUGUAAGCUCUGAUGAUCACAUGACCUCCUCCUCCUCCUCACCCUGUCGUUCAGAGCUCCUCCCUCUCCGCGAGCUUCUCCUGCAGACAACACACCUCCCAUUGGAGCUCCGCCCUCUCCUGCAGCUCCAUGGCGG
This is a long non-coding RNA of Limanda limanda (common dab), 705 nucleotides long. RefSeq lists it as uncharacterized. NCBI's taxonomy places the organism in Eukaryota, Metazoa, Chordata, Actinopteri, Pleuronectiformes, Pleuronectidae. The record is from RefSeq and is a predicted model, not a curated record. The transcript has 5 exons.